UUCAUCCAUCUCUGCAUCCGCCUCUUCCUAAUCAGCCAGCCGCUCACAUACGGUGGCGUGCAGGUCAUUACAGAGGCGCCGUGUACUCCCCCCCCAACACAUACACACACAGAGCGAGUGGCGAGCACACUGUAGCUCAAAGACAGCAGAAGAUGAGCGGCUCUGACGCGAUGGCGACGCACGCGUCGAGGUGGCGGCCGACGCAGAACCCGGCAGCCGUGCGGAAGUACUCGAGCGAGACUGCCGCUCCGCAGCCACCCGCGAAGAUUAUCCUGGAGGACCACUCCCUCGUCGAGGUCUUCCGGCGCUCGGCGGCUUUUCAGAGGAUUAUUGCCUACGUACAAGGCUGCAGCGAGGCGGUGGAGUCGACACCAAACCACCAGCGCCUGUCCGCCACGGUGGAUGACUGCGACGAUACGGUGAGGUACCUCGUAACGGACUACCUGCCACGCCUGCAUGACAUUGUGACCGCCAUCCCGCUGGAGGACAUGGCGCAGCAGCGCUUCGGCAACCGCGCCAAGCGCGUGUUUCACGCGCGACUCGAGGAGACGGUGGUCGCCGACAUGGAGAAGCUCGUCCGAACCUUUCCCACCUCCGCGGGCCGGUCGGAGGAGGCGAUCACCGAUAUGGCGACAGAGGUGGCGGCGUACGUCAUGGACUCUUUCGGCAACGCCACGCGCCUCGACUACGGCAGCGGCCACGAGCUGCACUUCUUUAUUGUCAUCAUGAUCUGCCUCGAGGAGCACGGCGACGGCGGCGGGAGUCUAAAGGAUGAGCCGGCGGUGCUCGUCCCGCUCGAGGUGCCGCCGCCGCCGCCGGUGCCUCCGAUGGAGCGCGCAGAGGUGCGCAAGCGGCGUCAGGACUACAUCUUCUACAUCUUCCACGAAUACAUGCGUCUGGUCCGGCGGCUGCAGAAGCGUUACUCGCUCGAGCCGGCGGGGUCGCAUGGGGUGUGGGGCCUAGACGACUAUCACCACAUCCCCUACAUCUUCGGUGGCGCGCAGCUCAUCAACGCGGAGGUACAGCCGGUGAAACCGGCGGCCGAUCAGGAGGCGAUGGUAGUGCUCCCCAAGCACAUUUGCGACCGCGCCAAGGUGGAGAUACUCAAGGACAGCUAUCUCUACUUUAGCAUGAUCGCGUGGAUUUUGGAGAACAAGACGGGACCCUUCCACGAGCACAGCAACAUGCUGUACAACAUCUCCGGCGUCGAGCACUGGUCGAAGAUCUACAGCGGCAUGGUGAAGAUGUUCGCCGCGGAGGUGCUGGCGAAGUUCAACGUGUCGCAGCACCUCCUCUUCGGCCGACAUCUGCCGUGGAACACGAAGACGAUGUGACAGGUGCCGCGGGCGGUCGAAGACACGGCAAUCAAGUCUUCGACGGGCACGCCGUGCACCCACCCACACCCACUCACCCACGGCGCUCUUUUCUUUCGCGGCAGAAACUCUCUCGCCCACCUCUAUUUGCGCUCACCCUGUUCUCCCCACCGAUCCGCCUCGCUGCCAUGCGGCCGUGUCUCCGCCCCGCCACGAACUGCAUCUCCCUCCUAUUCUCUCUGUGCCUCUCUUAUGUGCCCGCGUGAUGCGUCUGCACGCGGGACUUGCAUUGAAUGCUUCGCUUUUAGACGGAU
Molecule: unclassified non-coding RNA, 1627 nt
Filed under: Leishmania donovani
Lineage: Eukaryota; Euglenozoa; Kinetoplastea; Trypanosomatida; Trypanosomatidae
Description: gene:LdHU3.07.0260(CDS-product:protein_phosphatas e_2A_regulatory_subunit_B_putative)
Source: RNAcentral